UCCUAGGCGGCGGCCGCGGCGGCGGAGGCAGCAGCGGCGGCGGCAGUGGCGGCGGCGAAGGUGGCGGCGGCUCGGCCAGUACUCCCGGCCCCCGCCAUUUCGGACUGGGAGCGAGCGCGGCGCAGGCACUGAAGGCGGCGGCGGGGCCAGAGGCUCAGCGGCUCCCAGGUGCGGGAGAGAGGCCUGCUGAAAAUGACUGAAUAUAAACUUGUGGUAGUUGGAGCUGGUGGCGUAGGCAAGAGUGCCUUGACGAUACAGCUAAUUCAGAAUCAUUUUGUGGACGAAUAUGAUCCAACAAUAGAGAGAACAAAUUAAAAGAGUUAAGGACUCUGAAGAUGUACCUAUGGUCCUAGUAGGAAAUAAAUGUGAUUUGCCUUCUAGAACAGUAGACACAAAACAGGCUCAGGACUUAGCAAGAAGUUAUGGAAUUCCUUUUAUUGAAACAUCAGCAAAGACAAGACAGAGAGUGGAGGAUGCUUUUUAUACAUUGGUGAGAGAGAUCCGACAAUACAGAUUGAAAAAAAUCAGCAAAGAAGAAAAGACUCCUGGCUGUGUGAAAAUUAAAAAAUGCAUUAUAAUGUAAUCUGGGUGUUGAUGAUGCCUUCUAUACAUUAGUUCGAGAAAUUCGAAAACAUAAAGAAAAGAUGAGCAAAGAUGGUAAAAAGAAGAAAAAGAAGUCAAAGACAAAGUGUGUAAUUAUGUAAAUACAAUUUGUACUUUUUUCUUAAGGCAUACUAGUACAAGUGGUAAUUUUUGUACAUUACACUAAAUUAUUAGCAUUUGUUUUAGCAUUACCUAAUUUUUUUCCUGCUCCAUGCAGACUGUUAGCUUUUACCUUAAAUGCUUAUUUUAAAAUGACAGUGGAAGUUUUUUUUUCCUCUAAGUGCCAGUAUUCCCAGAGUUUUGGUUUUUGAACUAGCAAUGCCUGUGAAAAAGAAACUGAAUACCUAAGAUUUCUGUCUUGGGGCUUUUGGUGCAUGCAGUUGAUUACUUCUUAUUUUUCUUACCAAUUGUGAAUGUUGGUGUGAAACAAAUUAAUGAAGCUUUUGAAUCAUCCCUAUUCUGUGUUUUAUCUAGUCACAUAAAUGGAUUAAUUACUAAUUUCAGUUGAGACCUUCUAAUUGGUUUUUACUGAAACAUUGAGGGAACACAAAUUUAUGGGCUUCCUGAUGAUGAUUCUUCUAGGCAUCAUGUCCUAUAGUUUGUCAUCCCUGAUGAAUGUAAAGUUACACUGUUCACAAAGGUUUUGUCUCCUUUCCACUGCUAUUAGUCAUGGUCACUCUCCCCAAAAUAUUAUAUUUUUUCUAUAAAAAGAAAAAAAUGGAAAAAAAUUACAAGGCAAUGGAAACUAUUAUAAGGCCAUUUCCUUUUCACAUUAGAUAAAUUACUAUAAAGACUCCUAAUAGCUUUUCCUGUUAAGGCAGACCCAGUAUGAAAUGGGGAUUAUUAUAGCAACCAUUUUGGGGCUAUAUUUACAUGCUACUAAAUUUUUAUAAUAAUUGAAAAGAUUUUAACAAGUAUAAAAAAUUCUCAUAGGAAUUAAAUGUAGUCUCCCUGUGUCAGACUGCUCUUUCAUAGUAUAACUUUAAAUCUUUUCUUCAACUUGAGUCUUUGAAGAUAGUUUUAAUUCUGCUUGUGACAUUAAAAGAUUAUUUGGGCCAGUUAUAGCUUAUUAGGUGUUGAAGAGACCAAGGUUGCAAGGCCAGGCCCUGUGUGAACCUUUGAGCUUUCAUAGAGAGUUUCACAGCAUGGACUGUGUCCCCACGGUCAUCCAGUGUUGUCAUGCAUUGGUUAGUCAAAAUGGGGAGGGACUAGGGCAGUUUGGAUAGCUCAACAAGAUACAAUCUCACUCUGUGGUGGUCCUGCUGACAAAUCAAGAGCAUUGCUUUUGUUUCUUAAGAAAACAAACUCUUUUUUAAAAAUUACUUUUAAAUAUUAACUCAAAAGUUGAGAUUUUGGGGUGGUGGUGUGCCAAGACAUUAAUUUUUUUUUUAAACAAUGAAGUGAAAAAGUUUUACAAUCUCUAGGUUUGGCUAGUUCUCUUAACACUGGUUAAAUUAACAUUGCAUAAACACUUUUCAAGUCUGAUCCAUAUUUAAUAAUGCUUUAAAAUAAAAAUAAAAACAAUCCUUUUGAUAAAUUUAAAAUGUUACUUAUUUUAAAAUAAAUGAAGUGAGAUGGCAUGGUGAGGUGAAAGUAUCACUGGACUAGGAAGAAGGUGACUUAGGUUCUAGAUAGGUGUCUUUUAGGACUCUGAUUUUGAGGACAUCACUUACUAUCCAUUUCUUCAUGUUAAAAGAAGUCAUCUCAAACUCUUAGUUUUUUUUUUUUACAACUAUGUAAUUUAUAUUCCAUUUACAUAAGGAUACACUUAUUUGUCAAGCUCAGCACAAUCUGUAAAUUUUUAACCUAUGUUACACCAUCUUCAGUGCCAGUCUUGGGCAAAAUUGUGCAAGAGGUGAAGUUUAUAUUUGAAUAUCCAUUCUCGUUUUAGGACUCUUCUUCCAUAUUAGUGUCAUCUUGCCUCCCUACCUUCCACAUGCCCCAUGACUUGAUGCAGUUUUAAUACUUGUAAUUCCCCUAACCAUAAGAUUUACUGCUGCUGUGGAUAUCUCCAUGAAGUUUUCCCACUGAGUCACAUCAGAAAUGCCCUACAUCUUAUUUCCUCAGGGCUCAAGAGAAUCUGACAGAUACCAUAAAGGGAUUUGACCUAAUCACUAAUUUUCAGGUGGUGGCUGAUGCUUUGAACAUCUCUUUGCUGCCCAAUCCAUUAGCGACAGUAGGAUUUUUCAAACCUGGUAUGAAUAGACAGAACCCUAUCCAGUGGAAGGAGAAUUUAAUAAAGAUAGUGCUGAAAGAAUUCCUUAGGUAAUCUAUAACUAGGACUACUCCUGGUAACAGUAAUACAUUCCAUUGUUUUAGUAACCAGAAAUCUUCAUGCAAUGAAAAAUACUUUAAUUCAUGAAGCUUACUUUUUUUUUUUGGUGUCAGAGUCUCGCUCUUGUCACCCAGGCUGGAAUGCAGUGGCGCCAUCUCAGCUCACUGCAACCUCCAUCUCCCAGGUUCAAGCGAUUCUCGUGCCUCGGCCUCCUGAGUAGCUGGGAUUACAGGCGUGUGCCACUACACUCAACUAAUUUUUGUAUUUUUAGGAGAGACGGGGUUUCACCCUGUUGGCCAGGCUGGUCUCGAACUCCUGACCUCAAGUGAUUCACCCACCUUGGCCUCAUAAACCUGUUUUGCAGAACUCAUUUAUUCAGCAAAUAUUUAUUGAGUGCCUACCAGAUGCCAGUCACCACACAAGGCACUGGGUAUAUGGUAUCCCCAAACAAGAGACAUAAUCCCGGUCCUUAGGUAGUGCUAGUGUGGUCUGUAAUAUCUUACUAAGGCCUUUGGUAUACGACCCAGAGAUAACACGAUGCGUAUUUUAGUUUUGCAAAGAAGGGGUUUGGUCUCUGUGCCAGCUCUAUAAUUGUUUUGCUACGAUUCCACUGAAACUCUUCGAUCAAGCUACUUUAUGUAAAUCACUUCAUUGUUUUAAAGGAAUAAACUUGAUUAUAUUGUUUUUUUAUUUGGCAUAACUGUGAUUCUUUUAGGACAAUUACUGUACACAUUAAGGUGUAUGUCAGAUAUUCAUAUUGACCCAAAUGUGUAAUAUUCCAGUUUUCUCUGCAUAAGUAAUUAAAAUAUACUUAAAAAUUAAUAGUUUUAUCUGGGUACAAAUAAACAGGUGCCUGAACUAGUUCACAGACAAGGAAACUUCUAUGUAAAAAUCACUAUGAUUUCUGAAUUGCUAUGUGAAACUACAGAUCUUUGGAACACUGUUUAGGUAGGGUGUUAAGACUUACACAGUACCUCGUUUCUACACAGAGAAAGAAAUGGCCAUACUUCAGGAACUGCAGUGCUUAUGAGGGGAUAUUUAGGCCUCUUGAAUUUUUGAUGUAGAUGGGCAUUUUUUUAAGGUAGUGGUUAAUUACCUUUAUGUGAACUUUGAAUGGUUUAACAAAAGAUUUGUUUUUGUAGAGAUUUUAAAGGGGGAGAAUUCUAGAAAUAAAUGUUACCUAAUUAUUACAGCCUUAAAGACAAAAAUCCUUGUUGAAGUUUUUUUAAAAAAAGCUAAAUUACAUAGACUUAGGCAUUAACAUGUUUGUGGAAGAAUAUAGCAGACGUAUAUUGUAUCAUUUGAGUGAAUGUUCCCAAGUAGGCAUUCUAGGCUCUAUUUAACUGAGUCACACUGCAUAGGAAUUUAGAACCUAACUUUUAUAGGUUAUCAAAACUGUUGUCACCAUUGCACAAUUUUGUCCUAAUAUAUACAUAGAAACUUUGUGGGGCAUGUUAAGUUACAGUUUGCACAAGUUCAUCUCAUUUGUAUUCCAUUGAUUUUUUUUUUCUUCUAAACAUUUUUUCUUCAAACAGUAUAUAACUUUUUUUAGGGGAUUUUUUUUUAGACAGCAAAAACUAUCUGAAGAUUUCCAUUUGUCAAAAAGUAAUGAUUUCUUGAUAAUUGUGUAGUAAUGUUUUUUAGAACCCAGCAGUUACCUUAAAGCUGAAUUUAUAUUUAGUAACUUCUGUGUUAAUACUGGAUAGCAUGAAUUCUGCAUUGAGAAACUGAAUAGCUGUCAUAAAAUGAAACUUUCUUUCUAAAGAAAGAUACUCACAUGAGUUCUUGAAGAAUAGUCAUAACUAGAUUAAGAUCUGUGUUUUAGUUUAAUAGUUUGAAGUGCCUGUUUGGGAUAAUGAUAGGUAAUUUAGAUGAAUUUAGGGGAAAAAAAAGUUAUCUGCAGAUAUGUUGAGGGCCCAUCUCUCCCCCCACACCCCCACAGAGCUAACUGGGUUACAGUGUUUUAUCCGAAAGUUUCCAAUUCCACUGUCUUGUGUUUUCAUGUUGAAAAUACUUUUGCAUUUUUCCUUUGAGUGCCAAUUUCUUACUAGUACUAUUUCUUAAUGUAACAUGUUUACCUGGAAUGUAUUUUAACUAUUUUUGUAUAGUGUAAACUGAAACAUGCACAUUUUGUACAUUGUGCUUUCUUUUGUGGGACAUAUGCAGUGUGAUCCAGUUGUUUUCCAUCAUUUGGUUGCGCUGACCUAGGAAUGUUGGUCAUAUCAAACAUUAAAAAUGACCACUCUUUUAAUUGAAAUUAACUUUUAAAUGUUUAUAGGAGUAUGUGCUGUGAAGUGAUCUAAAAUUUGUAAUAUUUUUGUCAUGAACUGUACUACUCCUAAUUAUUGUAAUGUAAUAAAAAUAGUUACAGUGACUAUGAGUGUGUAUUUAUUCAUGAAAUUUGAACUGUUUGCCCCGAAAUGGAUAUGGAAUACUUUAUAAGCCAUAGACACUAUAGUAUACCAGUGAAUCUUUUAUGCAGCUUGUUAGAAGUAUCCUUUAUUUCUAAAAGGUGCUGUGGAUAUUAUGUAAAGGCGUGUUUGCUUAAACUUAAAACCAUAUUUAGAAGUAGAUGCAAAACAAAUCUGCCUUUAUGACAAAAAAAUAGGAUAACAUUAUUUAUUUAUUUCCUUUUAUCAA
RNAcentral lists this unclassified non-coding RNA (5518 nucleotides) under Homo sapiens (human). Its description in RNAcentral is "KRAS proto-oncogene, GTPase, transcript variant 2". The stretch from base 1286 to 1334 matches the Rfam family "KRAS 3' UTR cis-regulatory element". The record is from RNAcentral. Lineage: Eukaryota; Metazoa; Chordata; Mammalia; Primates; Hominidae.